This 782-nucleotide long non-coding RNA is filed under the name Cyanistes caeruleus (blue tit). RNAcentral describes it as "lncRNA (ENSCCEG00000015013.1)". Lineage: Eukaryota; Metazoa; Chordata; Aves; Passeriformes; Paridae. The record is from RNAcentral.
CUAGAGUAUAGGAAAUAACCUACAAAUACUACAUAUGCCACAGACCUUAGACCAUAUCUCUCUUGAUUUACAGCCUUUCAGUACACACCAUCUGCCUGAUUUUGACUAACAAGGGGAGGGAGAAAGGAAGAAGAGUGGACUUGGGGGUUGAAGGAUAAAAUAUUAUAAUUGUUUACAUAUUUUUUAUUUUGAAAACAAAGGCAGUUAGGUUAAUAAAAUUUUCACACUAAUGUUGUUUGUUAACCAUUAAUUAAUCUUGAUGAUAUGCAUGCACUGUACCUCUCAAAAUCACAGUGACAUCUUUCACAGUGCUGCUUUCCAGCAUCUGGUACCAUUGUAAUAAGACACUAUAUGAAACUCCUUUAUUACUAUGGCUAAUGAUAUAAAAAUCUAACAGAUGUCUGAAUGACAAACAUGUAAUCGAAUAAAUCAUACUAUGCUGUGCACUGAUAUGUCUACUGGGAACUGGAAAAAGCAGCAUUUCCUUUGGUCUGGGUUUAUUUUUCCACUGUGGUUCCAGCUGGAAACCAUUGAGGAGGAGCAGCAUGUUGCUUGUAUCCUGAAAAAUCCUACUGAGUCUGCCUUUCUUUGGACUCUGUUUCAGCAUUUUUUAGGAUGGUUUACUGACUUCACUGACUCAUGCUGCCCUCUACAAGGGGUACAGGCAUCUCAGAUCCCUCCACCUGCAGCCUGGUCCUCUGCCCACCACUAUGGGAACCAUGAAGAAAAAAGGUUUUCUCAGGAAUUGUUCCCUGUCUUCUGUCCAGGAUCACUCUAAUCAU